RNAcentral lists this ribosomal RNA (509 nucleotides) under Fusarium oxysporum. RNAcentral's name for it is "eukaryotic LSU rRNA". The stretch from base 129 to 282 matches the Rfam family "5.8S ribosomal RNA". The record is from RNAcentral. Lineage: Eukaryota; Fungi; Ascomycota; Sordariomycetes; Hypocreales; Nectriaceae.
CCCUGUGAACAUACCACUUGUUGCCUCGGCGGAUCAGCCCGCUCCCGGUAAAACGGGACGGCCCGCCAGAGGACCCCUAAAACUCUGUUUCUAUAUGUAACUUCUGAGUAAAACCAUAAAUAAAUCAAAACUUUCAACAACGGAUCUCUUGGUUCUGGCAUCGAUGAAGAACGCAGCAAAAUGCGAUAAGUAAUGUGAAUUGCAGAAUUCAGUGAAUCAUCGAAUCUUUGAACGCACAUUGCGCCCGCCAGUAUUCUGGCGGGCAUGCCUGUUCGAGCGUCAUUUCAACCCUCAAGCACAGCUUGGUGUUGGGACUCGCGUUAAUUCGCGUUCCUCAAAUUGAUUGGCGGUCACGUCGAGCUUCCAUAGCGUAGUAGUAAAACCCUCGUUACUGGUAAUCGUCGCGGCCACGCCGUUAAACCCCAACUUCUGAAUGUUGACCUCGGAUCAGGUAGGAAUACCCGCUGAACUUAAGCAUAUCAAUAAGCGGAGGAAAUCAUUACGAGUUU